AGGAAGGGGGAAAGGAGCUGGCAUCUGUAGGUGACGUGACAUGUGGGUUGGCUCCUCUUCCUCCACUGAAGACUGCAACAGAGGCACCUUAUUACCACCACACAUGUACUCUUCAGGUCUGAUCAUAACAUUGUUUUCUGACACAAUCAAUCUGGCAGCCUCAAGAUCAAUGAACAGAAUUGGUCCAUGGCCAGAGGUGGCAACUUUGCUUAUUCAAGAAAGAAGGAUCUUUGCUCCGUGUUCCUGUAUCUUGCUUCAAGUAUCAGCCUUGCUGUGAAUCCAGUGGAAUAUUCCAGUGACUUUGCUGUUUGGAGUUUAUUCCAGUCGAGACCUUUGCCUUGGGUUUCAUCUUUGACUUUAUACCUUGGAACUAUUCCUGCAUUUGAAUCUUGUUUUAUGUGCCUUGUUUGUGGAUCAUCAUUGACUCUACACCUGGAACCACAUUGGAAUUAA
Molecule: long non-coding RNA, 453 nt
Filed under: Anolis carolinensis (green anole)
Lineage: Eukaryota; Metazoa; Chordata; Lepidosauria; Squamata; Anolidae
Description: lncRNA (ENSACAG00000038380.1)
Source: RNAcentral